CAAUUUUCCUUGCAGUGAUUGUCGCUAGCUUCUGUUCUUCGGAAAGACACUCGCGCUAACGGACUUUUUUGAUCGGAAGUAUCAGUUCGGGGAAUUCGGUAUAGCGAGCGACGGUUUUUUGUUUACGCGGGAGGCGCGGGCUCGCUGCAGUUCGCGGAAUUGAUGAAGUAUGGGUUGAUACGAGACUUCGAGUUUUUAGAAUUUAAUGAUUUUUAUAAUGUGAGGAAUUUUGUUGGCUGUUUUCGUGCAUUCUCUGCAAAGCCGGAAUCGGAAGGUUGCCUAUAUAUGAGGAUUUCAACGUUUUUCGGCGAGAACGAGCGUAGGAGAGUUCAUGGCAGCGAGCGAAGCGACGCUCCGAGUCCCGGCGGAAAAUCCCAAAGCCCUCCGAGCGAGCGGUGGCGGCAGCGUUCUAACCUACCUGAACCCGCAGGGGCGCAGGGAGGGAGGGACGCCGUCGGCCGAGAGCGUAGGUCUGUGAGAGGGCCAGACGUGAGGAAAGAGGCAGACUGACUCGGACAGCCGACAAGCAACGACGAAUGCGACCUACAGUGUAAAACCCUAGACAACUAAGCAUUCUUUCAAUAUACGAACUACAAACUA
Long non-coding RNA from Nasonia vitripennis (jewel wasp), 600 nucleotides. RefSeq lists it as uncharacterized. The transcript is spliced from 2 exons. The record is from RefSeq and is a predicted model, not a curated record. NCBI's taxonomy places the organism in Eukaryota, Metazoa, Arthropoda, Insecta, Hymenoptera, Pteromalidae.